GCUGAUAUGGCCGAGUCGUUAAGGCGAGUGAUUUGAAUUGUCAAUUCUAUCACUUGGGCAUCGCCCGCGUAGGUUCAAAUCCUGCUGUCAGCG
Transfer RNA from Neolentinus lepideus HHB14362 ss-1, 93 nucleotides. It matches the Rfam family "tRNA". From Rfam's summary of the family: Transfer RNA (tRNA) molecules are approximately 80 nucleotides in length. Their secondary structure includes four short double-helical elements and three loops (D, anti-codon, and T loops). The record is from Rfam. NCBI's taxonomy places the organism in Eukaryota, Fungi, Basidiomycota, Agaricomycetes, Gloeophyllales, Gloeophyllaceae.